CCUACGGGAGGCAGCAGUGAGGAAUAUUGGUCAAUGGCCGGAAGGCUGAACCAGCCAAGCCGCGUGAAGGACGAAGGUGCCAAGCAUUGUAAACUUCUUUUGUCAAGGGACAAAAUCAGGCUCGAGAGCCUGACCGAGGGUACUUGAAGAAAAAGCAUCGGCUAACUCCGUGCCAGCAGCCGCGGUAAUACGGAGGAUGCGAGCGUUAUCCGGAUUUAUUGGGUUUAAAGGGUGCUGAGGCGGAAGGUUAAGUCAGCGGUAAAAUGUCGGUGCUCAACACCGGCCUGCCGUUGAAACUGGUCGUCUUGAGUGAGCGAGAAGUAUGCGGAAUGCGUGGUGUAGCGGUGAAAUGCAUAGAUAUCACGCAGAACUCCGAUUGCGAAGGCAGCAUACCGGCGUUCAACUGACGCUGAGGCACGAAAGCGUGGGGAUCGAACAGGAUUAGAUACCCCAGUAGUC
This 459-nucleotide ribosomal RNA is filed under the name uncultured bacterium. RNAcentral's name for it is "partial 16S ribosomal RNA". It matches the Rfam family "Bacterial small subunit ribosomal RNA", at positions 338 to 795 of the family's 1533-position model. The record is from RNAcentral.